AUUCUUCUCCAACAAAAUGGAACCACAUGAUCAAUCAGAGUAUGUUAUGCCGCUGGUUCUAUCUGCUUCUAGGCAUGACAGCAACAAUUGGUGAGAUUUUCUCCUUGUUGUUCAUCUCUUAUAUAUCCCCUUGCUGAUCUCAUCAAAUCACAGGACCUCAAGGAAUUCCUCAUGAUAAUCCCUAAUGUACAGAGAUGAGGUUGUGCUUCCUAUUGAACUCCAUGCAGUGAUAUUCCUCGCUUCUUAUUGUGGUUUGCCGCCAUUGCUACUACUGCUGUGCAGCAUGUACCCUGGCUGCGAUGAAUCCGUUAUGCCACUGCACAUAUUUUCCCGUUGCUGGAAUCCAGGAAUCAUUUGCAUUGUGCUGCGGUAAGGGUCAUGGUUUUCUCUGUUUUUGCUGAGAAACUCAUGUUCAUCAUGUCCCCUCCUUGUUGUGACCUUUCAAGGAAAUACCAUGCUGCUGCAGUGCUUCAUGGAGGCCAUCUCAAUGUGCCAUGUCGCCUUUCGAAACCAGCAGUGUAUCCCAUCGAGUGAUGACCGUUUUGCUGUCCAUCAUUGGCGUUGGUCGCCAUGGAGGUCAUGUCCAGCAAUCAUGAACCUUGAUGUGAGUCCCUCCCCCCAGUCUCAAUCUUGUAUACAUAUUAUUUUCCAUAAAUCAUGAGUCAUAGUCCAAGUUUGAUCAAAUUCUGUCAAAGUUUUCCCGCAAUCGUGUUGCUGUCCUUUUUGGACAACAGUGUUAUUGCCGGUCA
Sorghum bicolor (sorghum) is the source of this 749-nucleotide long non-coding RNA. RefSeq lists it as uncharacterized. The transcript has 2 exons. The record is from RefSeq and is a predicted model, not a curated record. Lineage: Eukaryota; Viridiplantae; Streptophyta; Magnoliopsida; Poales; Poaceae.